AGUGAACGCUGGCGGUAGGCCUAACACAUGCAAGUCGAACGGCAGCACAGUAAGAGCUUGCUCUUACGGGUGGCGAGUGGCGGACGGGUGAGGAAUACAUCGGAAUCUACUUUUUCGUGGGGGAUAACGUAGGGAAACUUACGCUAAUACCGCAUACGACCUACGGGUGAAAGCAGGGAUCUUCGGACCUUGGGCGAUUGAAUGAGCCGAUGUCGGAUUAGCUAGUUGGCGGGGUAAAGGCCCACCAAGGCGACGAUCCGUAGCUGGUCUGAGAGGAUGAUCAGCCACACUGGAACUGAGACACGGUCCAGACUCCUACGGGAGGCAGCAGUGGGGAAUAUUGGACAAUGGGCGCAAGCCUGAUCCAGCCAUACCGCGUGGGUGAAGAAGGCCUUCGGGUUGUAAAGCCCUUUUGUUGGGAAAGAAAAGCAGCAGGUUAAUACCCCGCUGUUCUGACGGUACCCAAAGAAUAAGCACCGGCUAACUUCGUG
RNAcentral lists this ribosomal RNA (491 nucleotides) under uncultured bacterium. RNAcentral's name for it is "partial 16S ribosomal RNA". It matches the Rfam family "Bacterial small subunit ribosomal RNA", at positions 29 to 507 of the family's 1533-position model. The record is from RNAcentral.